GCAGCCGCCGCGGUAAAACGGAGGGUGCAAGCGUUAAUCGGAAUUACUGGGCGUAAAGCGCACGCAGGCGGUCUGACAAGUCAGAUGUGAAAUCCCCGGGCUUAACCUGGGAACUGCAUUUGAAACUGUCAGGCUGGAGUCUUGUAGAGGGGGGUGGAAUUCCAGGUGUAGCGGUGAAAUGCGUAGAGAUCUGGAGGAAUACCGGUGGCGAAGGCGGCCCCCUGGACAAAGACUGACGCUCAGGUGCGAAAGCGUGGGGAGCAAACAGGAUUAGAUACCCCGGUAGUCCCUGUCUCUUAUAC
RNAcentral lists this ribosomal RNA (302 nucleotides) under uncultured bacterium. RNAcentral describes it as "partial 16S ribosomal RNA". It matches the Rfam family "Bacterial small subunit ribosomal RNA", at positions 508 to 807 of the family's 1533-position model. The record is from RNAcentral.